GCGCGUCCCCCGGGGCCCCGGCCUCCGGGAUGAGCAGGGAGGGGCCGUGGGCCUCGGCGGCCGGCGGAGGUGGGGGGCCUUGAUGAGCCCCCGGAGCCGGCCUCCCGCGCGCGGAACCCAGCGCGCCCGCCUUGCCGGGGCGCCCGGGUGGGGGCGUCCACGAUCCUGGCCCUCCGGCCCGCCGACCUGGAGCGAGGGCGCGGCCCCGAGAGUCCGCGCCGGUUCCUUUCUCCUGCUCGCGGCCCCUCCGCGCGACCCCGGGCCAAAGGCGGUUGAGCUGAGGCUCCGAGAGAAAGGGAGCUGAUUUUCUGGCGGAUGGAUUUUGAAGAGGAGAUAAGGCAGUUUUCCCAUUUGGGCAAUGGAGAAAUGUUCGCCAUAUUUGGAUUUGCUUUACUUCUGGGACGUGGACUUUGCCAAGCUAACGCGAAAGUUGGUGAUGGUGGAGAUGGAGAGCUGACAGAACUAAUUACAGUUAAAGUGGGCGCAGUGGCAAGAGGGAAAUUGCAAAGCUCACCUACAGCCAGACUGACAGCAUGCUUUUCUAGGAAUCAAGAAUCACCAUCAGGUUAUUUCCUAAGAUGAAACUUGGAAAGCCCCUUGGAGGCUGCACAGCCAUCUGCACACUUGAACAUGAAAAAUGGUCUUCUUUCAUCAGGGAGAUCUCCCUCUUUAGCUAACUCAUCAGAAGUGAUGAGAAGAAGAAGAAGGGAGCCCUACCCAACCACACUCAUCCAGACAAAUCAAAUCGUUUUGGUUUGUUUGUGUGUUUGUUUGUUUGUUUUUUAGCAAGGAGCGGAGCCGCACACAGGUGGCCAGAUCACCAUCUUCUGCUGGCACCAGCACUGAGUAGCCCCCUCCCGGACUGCCAUCUACAUGCAGGUGGUGCCCUGAACAAGAGCACGUGGCUGAGGCAGCCAAUGGGAGCUGAAAUCCUGCUCACGGAGUGGAAUGUAUUGGUGCAUGGCCGUGUCUACCCACACAACAUGGCUCCUUUUUUUAAAUUUGCGCCAAGGCACCCUGUAUGGGGCAGGGGCAACUCAGACCAUCCCACCCCCAGCCCCCAGUCCUACCCAGGAUUACCUCUGAUGCAUUGAAGAGUCUCAUGAACAAUUUAGGUUUAUUGUAAAAGAUGAAAUAUUUGACACAGUUGAAAUUAAAUAGGUAAAACUCCAAAUAUUACCAUGUAUAUGAAUUAUGUAUGUACAUAUUUAUAUAUAUAUAUGUAUGUAUAGUGAUGUCGAUACAUAUUCCUAUGUAUCAGAAGUUAGCACAACUUAAAUUUAGUAAA
This is a long non-coding RNA of Rhinolophus ferrumequinum (greater horseshoe bat), 1288 nucleotides long. RefSeq lists it as uncharacterized. The record is from RefSeq and is a predicted model, not a curated record. The transcript has 3 exons. Lineage: Eukaryota; Metazoa; Chordata; Mammalia; Chiroptera; Rhinolophidae.